GAUGAAGAACGCAGCGAAAUGCGAUAACUAAUGUGAAUUGCAGAAUUCCGUGAACCAUCGAAUCUUUGAACGCACAUUGCGCCCGCCAGUAUUCUGGCGGGCAUGCCUGUCCGAGCGUCAUCUCAACCCUCGAGCCCCCCCGGGGGCUCGGCGUUGGGGACCGGCCCCGCCCCAGGGCGCGCCGCCCCCCAAAUACAGUGGCGGUCCCGCCGCAGCCUCCCCUGCGCAGUAGCUUGCACACUCGCACCGGAGAGCGGCGCGGCCACGCCGUAAAACCCCCCGACCACGGAGCCCCGGCUCCUGAACGUUGACCUCGGAUCAGGUAGGAAUACCCGCUGAACUUAAGCAUAUCAAUAAGCGGAGGA
This 365-nucleotide unclassified non-coding RNA is filed under the name soil metagenome. Its description in RNAcentral is "partial contains 5.8S ribosomal RNA, internal transcribed spacer 2, and large subunit ribosomal RNA". The stretch from base 1 to 120 matches the Rfam family "5.8S ribosomal RNA", at positions 35 to 154 of the family's 154-position model. The record is from RNAcentral.